UGUGCUUCAUAUUAGAGGUGGUUUGGGAGGUGCACAAAACUAAAUUUGCAAGCUGUGUUUGACAGUGUUAGAGUGCUAUCUAUUUGCUCUGUUAACUGGUCAAAUUCUGUUUUACUGAUGUUGUUACAAAGUCAGAGAACUUCCUUAACUUCCGUGUGGCAGAGAAUUGCAUUUUAUCUCCCUGUGUAUACGGAGCCAACGUGACAUGCAGAGUAAUUUUGACCUCUCAGUGUUGAGGCUAGGCCAGACCUCACUCUUGGCAAAGACUGAGUAGUUGGGCUUUGUCUAGGGGGGCUCUAGUACCAUCAAAUAAGCAAUCAGAAAAUCUCCUAAGGAUCCGUAAGCCAUGUUUUUCUUCUGAAUUUGGUAGUAAGAAUGGCUGCAGAGUUUCCAAAGAAAGUUAAUAAUUACAUGUUUUCUAAUCCACGAUAGUGUCUUCUCAUGAUCAAUGGUUUAUUUUCUCAAAAUCUAAAGUAGUGUAAGCUGUGGUGCUUAAUAAAAUUCAGAGGUUAAUAUAAUGGAUAAAAUGUGUUUAAUAAAAGGAUAGUGGAAGCGGAUCUGGAAUAAAUUGGUUUGAGAACAUGUUCAAUUUACAGGAAGUGAUGCAGUUCCUGGAUUUUCUGUGUUAGGAUAUGAACUGCAUUUUCAGUGAGCUGUAAAGGGUCAGUGAAGAAAACUCAGCACAGGGCUAUGUUGACACUGGAAGUGCUGCCAAGAAGAGUUUCCUCUGAAGAAAUACAUAAGAAGCUUGUUGCGAAGGUGAUCUUCCCUGGUCAUCAUAGAAUGGCCUGGGUUGGAAUAGACCCCAAGGAUCAUCAGGCUCCAACCCCUGUGCUACAGGCAGGGCCACCCACCUCCAGAUCUGGUACUAGACCACAUUGCCCAGGGCCCCAUCCAGCCUGGCCUUGAACACCUCCAGGUACGGAGCACCCACAGCCUCACUGGGCAGCCUGUUCCAGCACCUCACCACACCCUGUGAAGAACUUCUCCCUGACAUCUAAUCUAAAUCUUCCCUCCUUGAGCUUAAAACCAUUCCCUCUUGUCCUAUCUCUGUCUACCUGAGUAAAAAAUUGAUUCCCCUCCUGUUUAAAUACUGGAAGGCUGCAGUGAGAUCUCCAUGCAGCCAUCUCUUCUCCAGACUAAACAACUAUUCCAUUUGUAAGUAGGGAACAGGAUGCAGAGCCGUCUGCUUCUUAACCUGAUGGACCACAUCCACACCAAGAGGCUUUGCUGUGCAGAGCCUGCCCGGUCCCUUCAGCCUUCAGUGCUUUCUCUCAAAGCUUGAUGGAGCUGGUGGUGAAGCUUUGGCUUGCUUUCUGUUUGGAUGCUCUGGGUAAAGGUGACAACCUGUUGUUUUACUUGCUCCACUUGGUUUUACCCAUACCUCCUUCUCUUUAUAUGCGGAGAUUCUCACAGGACAAGAGCUCCUCUGUGACGGAGCACGUCUCAUGCCCUGGGGCCUAGCGUGACUAGCAGAUGCAGAUUGUAUGGAAGCAAUUAAAUCUGAAGGAAAUGUAACGUGGGCUGAAUUUCAACACACAGACUUAUGGCAUUUCCCCCCUUGUAUUCAGAAGGAGGGAGGGAGAGAAGUGGGUGCAGUAUGGGGGUGGGAGUGGAUCGUGUUGCAUUUGUCAGUCAGAAUCCAGGCAUGGUGUUAAUGCUUGUGCUUGUGCCUGUGACUGCUGCA
This 1687-nucleotide long non-coding RNA is filed under the name Meleagris gallopavo (turkey). RNAcentral's name for it is "lncRNA (ENSMGAG00000017528.1)". The record is from RNAcentral. Lineage: Eukaryota; Metazoa; Chordata; Aves; Galliformes; Phasianidae.